GCCUAGUUAGCUUAGUUGGUAGUGCGUCUGCCUUGUAAGCGCUAGGCCGCGGGUUCGAUUCCCGCCAGGCC
RNAcentral lists this transfer RNA (71 nucleotides) under Diaphorina citri (Asian citrus psyllid). It matches the Rfam family "tRNA". Rfam says of the family: Transfer RNA (tRNA) molecules are approximately 80 nucleotides in length. The record is from Rfam by way of RNAcentral. Lineage: Eukaryota; Metazoa; Arthropoda; Insecta; Hemiptera; Psyllidae.